UACGAAAGGUGCAAGCGUUACUCGGAAUUACUGGGCGUAAAGCGCGCGUAGGCGGCCUGUUAAGUCGAACGUGAAAUCCCCGGGCUCAACCCGGGAACUGCGUCCGAUACUGGCAGGCUUGAAUCCGGGAGAGGGAUGCGGAAUUCCAGGUGUAGCGGUGAAAUGCGUAGAUAUUGGGAGGAACACCAGUGGCGAAGGCGGCUCACUGGACCGGUGCUGACGCUGAGGCGCGAAAGCGUGGGGAGCAAACGGG
RNAcentral lists this ribosomal RNA (253 nucleotides) under uncultured bacterium. RNAcentral's name for it is "partial 16S ribosomal RNA". It matches the Rfam family "Bacterial small subunit ribosomal RNA", at positions 524 to 776 of the family's 1533-position model. The record is from RNAcentral.